RNAcentral lists this ribosomal RNA (497 nucleotides) under uncultured bacterium. RNAcentral's name for it is "partial 16S ribosomal RNA". It matches the Rfam family "Bacterial small subunit ribosomal RNA", at positions 28 to 507 of the family's 1533-position model. The record is from RNAcentral.
GAUGAACGCUGGCGGCGUGCCUAAUACAUGCAAGUCGAGCGAACAGACGAGGAGCUUGCUCCUCUGAUGUUAGCGGCGGACGGGUGAGUAACACGUGGAUAACCUACCUAUAAGACUGGGAUAACUUCGGGAAACCGGAGCUAAUACCGGAUAACAUGUUGAACCGCAUGGUUCAACAGUGAAAGACGGUCUUGCUGUCACUUAUAGAUGGAUCCGCGCCGCAUUAGCUAGUUGGUAAGGUAACGGCUUACCAAGGCAACGAUGCGUAGCCGACCUGAGAGGGUGAUCGGCCACACUGGAACCGAGACACGGUCCAGACUCCUACGGGAGGCAGCAGUAGGGAAUCUUCCGCAAUGGGCGAAAGCCUGACGGAGCAACGCCGCGUGAGUGAAGAAGGUCUUCGGAUCGUAAAACUCUGUUAUUAGGGAAGAACAAAUGUGUAAGUAACUAUGCUCGUCUUGACGGUACCUAAUCAGAAAGCCACGGCUAACUACGUG